RNAcentral lists this ribosomal RNA (253 nucleotides) under uncultured bacterium. RNAcentral describes it as "partial 16S ribosomal RNA". It matches the Rfam family "Bacterial small subunit ribosomal RNA", at positions 524 to 776 of the family's 1533-position model. The record is from RNAcentral.
UACGUAGGGACCAAGCGUUGUCCGGAAUCAUUGGGCGUAAAGAGCGUGUAGGCGGCUUGUUAAGUCUUGCGUGAAAUCUCGGGGCUCAACCCCGAGCGGUCGUGAGAAACUGGCGGGCUAGAGUGCGGGAGAGGAGAGUGGAAUUCCUGGUGUAGCGGUGAAAUGCGCAGAUAUCAGGAAGAACACCCGUGGCGAAGGCGGCUCUCUGGAACGCAACUGACGCUGAGACGCGAAAGCGUGGGGAGCGAACAGG